UACGGAGGAUGCAAGCGUUAUCCGGAUUUAUUGGGUUUAAAGGGUGCGCAGGUUGUUUGAUAAGUCAGUGGUGAAAGUCUGUCGCUUAACGGUAGGAUUGCCAUUGAUACUGUUGGACUUGAAUAUGGAUGAGGUAGGCGGAAUGUGUAGUGUAGCGGUGAAAUGCAUAGAUAUUACACAGAACACCGAUUGCGAAGGCAGCUUACUAAUCCAUCAUUGACGCUUAGGCACGAAAGCGUGGGGAGUCAAACAGGAUUA
RNAcentral lists this ribosomal RNA (258 nucleotides) under uncultured prokaryote. RNAcentral's name for it is "partial 16S ribosomal RNA". It matches the Rfam family "Bacterial small subunit ribosomal RNA", at positions 524 to 780 of the family's 1533-position model. The record is from RNAcentral.